CGAGCAGAAGCAGAGGAAGGAGCGCUCUGAGGGGACCUGUGGGGUCAUCAACACUCAGACGUGGGAGUCGGUGUUGGAUGACGUGGAUCCCUUCCAGCUCGGACUUCUGUGAUCACAGAGGCAUUUGAGAGGGAGAGAAAAUGGAGGUGUGCACCCCAUUUCCAUGCUCUUUUGGUUCUUCAGUAUUGCUGAGGACUGCUGUUAGCACAGUGGCUGUCACCUCCCGACCUCACCCAGGCCUGUGUGCCAGUGCCAUAUUUCCACUGGGUCUCCUUGGGAGAAUCCUGUUACAACACUGCAGCAGCUGAAAAUGGAGUUUUGGUGCCAAAAAAGCAAACGAGAGAUGCAAUGACACCGACCUGGUCAUGAGGAUACUGAGGGAAAAGCCAGUUUUUGUGCGAGUGAGACUGCAUUUUUUUCAUCCACUGGAUGUCAGUGUUACGCUACUGCUGUGGUGCAUUGCCAGGUGCUGGGAGAACUUUGGCUGCUUUGGGAUGAGGGAUUCAAGAAGAGCUUUCUCCUGUGGUUGGUCUUCUAUAACAGCAGAGAACAAGCACAGAUGAGCAACUUAAAGAAAAAACAGAGGUAAUGAAUAUAAUGAAUACUAGAAUUAAAUGAAAGCAGGAGAAAAUGAGGGAGAUACAUCAAAUGUAAUUUUUGAACUUGUAAGCUGGCCAGGUGAUUAAUGCUAACAUUCCUGCUUUGCAAACCCUCCCCACCCAAAAAAAAAUCGUUAAAACCCCUAAUAUUCAAGGAUCUGAGCUUUAAGCCUCAGACAUGUCUACAUCCGUCACUGUACUCAACACAAUAAGCUUAUUUUGACAUGACUUAUUCUCGUGUGCCGUAGCCAUGAAAGACACGCAGUUGCGACAGUUUGAAGAACAGUUUAUGAAUGUCCGAAGCGAAAUGCUUAGCAGAAUUUUCAACUUGUGCUGCCGUGCUCACAUAAUUCUGUUGAAAGGAAAAGGGAAAAAAGAGAAGUUUGUCAGCCCACAG
Molecule: long non-coding RNA, 996 nt
Organism: Centrocercus urophasianus (Greater sage-grouse)
Lineage: Eukaryota; Metazoa; Chordata; Aves; Galliformes; Phasianidae
Exons: 3
Source: RefSeq, a predicted model, not a curated record